GUGCUCUCUUCGGCAGCACAUGUACUAAAACUGGAAUGAUACAGAGAUUAGCCUGGCCCCUGUGCAAGGAUGACAUGCAAAUUAAUGAAGCAUUCCAUAUUAAA
Molecule: small nuclear RNA, 104 nt
Organism: Ochotona curzoniae (black-lipped pika)
Lineage: Eukaryota; Metazoa; Chordata; Mammalia; Lagomorpha; Ochotonidae
Source: RefSeq, a predicted model, not a curated record